CAAGAUCAAGUGUGCCGGUGCCGAAGGCGAGGAGGCUGCUCUCCUAUUUACAUCAUGUUUUAAGGCAUGACAGAGGCAAAGACAUGCAUCUGAAGGCUGAGGGAUGAACUGGCUGUGAGAUAUGUUUUGUGGAUUAAACCUCAGAAUCAGGAAGACCUGGACUAGAUGAGAACACCUGUAUAGACUGUCCAUCCAAGUGACGUGAAGAUGUCUGCUGGGGAGCGUGCACCCAGCCAUGCCUGCGAGACUGUGGGCUGUGGGGCCGAGGCAAGACUACAGUGCCCCACAUGCAUCAAAUUGGGCAUUCAGGGAUCCUUUUUCUGCUCCCAGAGCUGUUUCAAGAGUUCCUGGGAAACACACAAACAACUCCAUAAGAAAACAAGAUCAAGUGAAAGCAGCCUGUCACAGUACAAUCCUUGGCCAUAUUUCAUGUUUACUGGUAGCUUACGGCCGUACCCACAAAGUAGCAAGAGGGAAGUGCCUUCAUCUAUAGGCAGACCAGACUAUGCUGACGACCCUCAUGGAUUUCCUCAUUCUGAGCAGAAAGUUCGAUCAUCGUCCAAUAUCAAGUGCCUUUCAGAUGAAGAGAUUGAGAGUAUGAAAGUAGCUUGUAAGCUGGCCCGGGAAGUCUUGGAUGAAGGAGUGAAGGUGGCAGCCAUUGGAGUGACAACAGACGAGAUAGAUCGUGUGGUUCAUGAGGCUGCCGUGGAGAGGGAGUGUUAUCCUUCACCUCUUAACUACCAUGGGUUCCCAAAGUCCUGUUGUACUUCUAUUAAUGAAGUUAUAUGUCAUGGUAUUCCUGAUAUGAGGCCAUUGCAAAAUGGAGAUAUUUGUAACAUUGAUGUCACAGUGUACCAUCGCGGUUAUCAUGGAGACCUGAAUGAGACGCUGUGUAUUGGGGAAGUAAGCAACACAUCUAGAAAUCUUGUCAAGACUACCUGGGAGUGUCUGCAAAAAGCUAUCGAAAUUGUCAAGCCUGGUGUGAAGUACCGGGAUGUUGGUGCAGUGAUCCAGAAGCACGCUCAGUCUCAGGGGUACUCUGUUGUGCGUUCCUACUGUGGCCAUGGCAUACACCAGCUCUUUCACACUGCUCCCUCUGUGCCUCAUUAUGCAAGUUAAAAAUAAAGCUGUGGGUAUCAUGAAACCAGGACACACAUUUACAAUUGAACCAAUGAUAUCAGAAGGUACAUGGAAGGAUGAACAGUGGCCUGAUAACUGGACUGCAGUGACAGCUGAUGGGAAGCUCUCAGCUCAAUUUGAGGAGACUCUCCUUGUGACAGAAACAGGAGUGGAGAUCCUGACGCAACGUACUGAGAAGAACGGUCAGCCAUAUUUUAUGGAUUGAGGUGAGGGGAAAGUUAGGAUAUGUAUAUUAAGACUAUGCCAUUUGUUUGUUUAUCAACUGAGAAAUAAUAUGCUGAGACUAUAAAUCCUCUAAAUAUAAAGAAUCAGGCUUUCAAACCUGGAGAGUUUUGUUGCUCAGAUAGUGUGGCAUACAGGUCAUCCUGAUUUGUGAAACUAGAUAAGGUAUGGCAGUGGGCAUUAACACACCUAUAUUACUUGUAAUUAUUGCAGCACGAUGUAGAAUAUCUAUAUUUUGUAUUGAAUUAUAACAGCCUGUAUCAGUUAUGCAGAUGAAUCAGCCAGAUAUUAAAGCUGUUCUUUGAUGAAAGGUUUAUAGCUUCAAAAUGUCACUAGUAGUGAUCACAGUGAGAGCUUGUUUGUCCAUCUUUUCCCAUUUCAAGGACAUUGCAGGAAUCUUAACUUUCUAUGUGUUAAUUAUAUUAGAAACUCUAAAUUAUAUUAAGAAUUUUUACCAAGUUGUAUGUUUGUUGAAUUGAUACAUGAGAUUUAUGAAUGUGAUGCAUGAUACAAAUGUGUCCAGUAAAAAGUUUCAGGCCUUCAUAUUUACACUGUCCAUUUGAAGGUCUGGCUUACAUUUCCAUUCUGACUUGUUUGUUUACAGUAAUGAAUUUCAGUAAGUUCUUAA
RNA transcript from Scylla paramamosain (green mud crab), 1990 nucleotides. It is a transcript of the gene named methionine aminopeptidase 1-like, with no coding region annotated. The record is from RefSeq and is a predicted model, not a curated record. Lineage: Eukaryota; Metazoa; Arthropoda; Malacostraca; Decapoda; Portunidae. The transcript is spliced from 12 exons.